AUGGAGUCUUACACUGUCACCCAGGCUGGAGUGCAAUGGCAUGAUCUCGGCUCACCGCAACCUCCACCUCCCGGGUUCAAGCGAUUCUCCUGCCUCAGCCUCCUGAGUAGCUGGGAUUACAGGUACAACCACAGGGCUCCCCAUGAGGUGAUGUCAUCGAAUUUUCCUGGCUGAAGAGUCGUCCUUUGUGUACACACAUGGGAGUUUAUUUUUUCAUCUGCAUAUGGACGCAUUCCUGAGACUUCAGAAACAUUCUAUGGAGAAUUGAGAAGAGAGUAUUUUUUGAGCCAGAAAGUGCUUUCCUGUGAAGUUUGUAUAUUUCCCCCAGAAGAUCAAUGGAAGGUGGAUUCCAAAGAGUGGGCAAGUGAGGACCCCUUCUCUGUUACCAAGGUGACCCCAAGGAACACAGUAAAUGUGGCGGCUUAUUUGGCCUCCCCAGGACGGACUGGAGCAUCAGUAGUGCCUGAGUUCAUCAAAGGACAGAUGCUCAAGACACCUUGAUCACCAUUAGGUGGAAUUGAAGGAGCCAAAAAUGGGCGCAGUGGCUCCUCAGCAGAGACGCUCCUGAAUGUAUAGACAUGGGAACCACUUUCAGCAUCAAAAAAGGAAACGUUCUGCAUGCCCAUAUCCAGAAAAAUCCCCACUCGCUGUAACUUGCGGUCUACUAAGAGGAAAGUCAGCGGCACCGUGCUGGCAGAGAGGCGGCUUCCAUCCCUCAAACUCACAGUCCAGAAUCCAAGCUCUGUGGUCAGCUGGAUCUUCCCUUUGCAGUGAACAGAUUCUCUGCAGACUCCCAGGUCCCAUUCUGUGCUUGUUCCCACGUCCACCUCCCAGUAGUGGCGGCCACAGGUAAAGCGAGGGGAGCCCAGGAUGCAAACGGACACGUCAAAUCUCUCGGCAAGGUCUUGCCGAUUCUGUGUGAUGAGCCCACUUCGGACGCUCCUGAGGUCGUCAGAAAUGAGGAGGAAGUUGUUGGCUGUGUCGGCAUCCAAGGUCAUAUCCACUGUGAAAAGGAAAACAAGUUGCUCAGCAAGUGGACAGAAGCCAACCCCAUGCCUCUCUUCUACUUCAAAGGCCCAAAUAUCUCCUGACUUUAGUUUCUUUAAUUCUGUUUCUUCCUCCAAAAUCAAAACUUUUCAUGAGGAAACUUCCCUAUUUCAAAUUUUCAUAGGUAUGCUUUGUGGCAAUACGUGACUCUUAUUCACAGUAGCAAUUCUUAUUUUACUUUACGUCACGUGUUUGCUUCACUGAACUUUUCUUCAUUUAGAGUGGAGGGUCUCUGAAGGCAGACACCAUGCCCCCCUUUCUACCACCUUGAUGUGUGAACAAAUAAAUGA
Homo sapiens (human) is the source of this 1337-nucleotide long non-coding RNA. Ensembl annotates it as RFPL3 antisense. Its record names the gene RFPL3S. The record is from Ensembl. Lineage: Eukaryota; Metazoa; Chordata; Mammalia; Primates; Hominidae.